UCAGUCGACUCCUACGGGGAGGCAGCAGUGGGGGAAUAUUGCACAAUGGGCGCAAGCCUGAUGCAGCCAUGCCGCGUGUAUGAAGAAGGCCUUCGGGUUGUAAAGUACUUUCAGCAGUGAGGAAGGUGGGUAUGUUAAUAGCAUACUCAUUUGACGUUAGCUGCAGAAGAAGCACCGGCUAACUCCGUGCCAGCAGCCGCGGUAAUACGGAGGGUGCGAGCGUUAAUCGGAAUUACUGGGCGUAAAGCGCAUGCAGGUGGUUUGUUAAGUCAGAUGUGAAAGCCCGGGGCGUCAACCUCGGAAUUGCAUUUGAAACUGGCAAACUAGAGUACUGUAGAGGGGGGUAGGAAUUUCAGGUGUAGCGGUGAAAUGCGUAGAGAUCUGAAGGAAUACCGGUGGCGAAGGCGGCCCCCUGGACAGAUACUGACACUCAGAUGCGAAAGCGUGGGGAGCAAACAGGAUUAGAUACCCUGGUAG
This 477-nucleotide ribosomal RNA is filed under the name uncultured bacterium. RNAcentral describes it as "bacterial SSU rRNA". It matches the Rfam family "Bacterial small subunit ribosomal RNA", at positions 328 to 793 of the family's 1533-position model. The record is from RNAcentral.